This 549-nucleotide ribosomal RNA is filed under the name Gordonia sp. (in: high G+C Gram-positive bacteria). RNAcentral's name for it is "bacterial SSU rRNA". It matches the Rfam family "Bacterial small subunit ribosomal RNA", at positions 266 to 827 of the family's 1533-position model. Lineage: Bacteria; Bacillati; Actinomycetota; Actinomycetes; Mycobacteriales; Gordoniaceae. The record is from RNAcentral.
UACCAAGGCGACGACGGGUAGCCGACCUGAGAGGGUGAUCGGCCACACUGGGACUGAGACACGGCCCAGACUCCUACGGGAGGCAGCAGUGGGGAAUAUUGCACAAUGGGCGCAAGCCUGAUGCAGCGACGCCGCGUGAGGGAUGACGGCCUUCGGGUUGUAAACCUCUUUCAGCUCCGACGAAGCGCAAGUGACGGUAGGAGCAGAAGAAGCACCGGCCAACUACGUGCCAGCAGCCGCGGUAAUACGUAGGGUGCAAGCGUUGUCCGGAAUUACUGGGCGUAAAGAGCUCGUAGGCGGUUUGUCGCGUCGUCUGUGAAAUUCUGCAGCUUAACUGCAGGCGUGCAGGCGAUACGGGCAGACUUGAGUACUACAGGGGAGACUGGAAUUCCUGGUGUAGCGGUGAAAUGCGCAGAUAUCAGGAGGAACACCGGUGGCGAAGGCGGGUCUCUGGGUAGUAACUGACGCUGAGGAGCGAAAGCGUGGGUAGCGAACAGGAUUAGAUACCCUGGUAGUCCACGCCGUAAACGGUGGGUACUAGGUGUGGGU